Molecule: long non-coding RNA, 304 nt
Filed under: Capsella rubella
Lineage: Eukaryota; Viridiplantae; Streptophyta; Magnoliopsida; Brassicales; Brassicaceae
Description: long non-coding RNA (CRUB_LNC004715)
Source: RNAcentral
UUGGCCCCUGCCUCUGUUGUUAUAUGGGUUCCUAAGUUGGUCAUUUGCACAGCUGCAGAUAGAGUGUAAGAGUUGGGUUACACUGGCCGAGCAAUAUGUAAUCGACUGAUAUCAACUUGAUUUUUAUUUCUCACCUGUUGUCAUGAUGGCGGAUCUGAUUGCUGCAGGACUCCAUAAAGGGUAUCUGGAUUUGAGUCGAGCAGCAAUACCGGAGACAUGGGGGCAUGACAUUGAAGUCCCUGAUUCAAUGUUGACGAGUGGUGGUGGCUUUCCUUCUGGUGCAGCAUUUAAGUCACCUACUAAC